AGAAUCAACGCUGGCGGCGUGCCUAACACAUGCAAGUCGAUCGAGAAAGUGGAGCAAUCCAUGAGUAAAGAGGCGCACGGGUGAGUAACACGUGACUAACCUACCCUCGAGUGGGGAAUAACCUGGGGAAACCCGGGCUAAUACCGCAUAAUACCCACGGGUCAAAGGAGCAAUUCGCUUGAGGAGGGGGUCGCGGCAGAUUAGUUAGUUGGCGGGGUAAUGGCCCACCAAGACGAUGAUCUGUAUCCGGCCUGAGAGGGCGCACGGACACACUGGAACUGAAACACGGUCCAGACUCCUACGGGAGGCAGCAGUGGGAAUUUUGCGCAAUGGGGGAAACCCUGACGCAGCAACGCCGCGUGGAGGAUGAAGUCCCUUGGGGACGUAAACUCCUUUCGACCGGGACGAUAAUGACGGUACCGGAUGAAGAAGCCCCGGCUAACUUCGUGCCAGCAGCCGC
RNAcentral lists this ribosomal RNA (460 nucleotides) under uncultured bacterium. RNAcentral's name for it is "SSU rRNA". It matches the Rfam family "Bacterial small subunit ribosomal RNA", at positions 26 to 518 of the family's 1533-position model. The record is from RNAcentral.